Molecule: ribosomal RNA, 253 nt
Filed under: uncultured bacterium
Lineage: Bacteria
Description: partial 16S ribosomal RNA
Rfam family: Bacterial small subunit ribosomal RNA
Source: RNAcentral
UACGGAGGGUGCGAGCGUUGUCCGGAAUCACUGGGCGUAAAGGGCGCGUAGGCGGUUUGGUAAGUCACGUGUGAAAUCCCGGCGCUCAACGCCGGGGCUGCAUGUGAGACUGUCAGACUAGAGCUCGGUAGAGGCAAGUGGAAUUCCCGGUGUAGCGGUGGAAUGCGUAGAUAUCGGGAAGAACACCGGUGGCGAAGGCGGCUUGCUGGGCCGAUGCUGACGCUGAGGCGCGACAGCGUGGGGAGCAAACAGG